This 100-nucleotide microRNA precursor is filed under the name Loxodonta africana (African savanna elephant). RNAcentral's name for it is "mir-544 microRNA precursor family". It matches the Rfam family "mir-544 microRNA precursor family". The record is from Rfam by way of RNAcentral. Lineage: Eukaryota; Metazoa; Chordata; Mammalia; Proboscidea; Elephantidae.
AUCACCUGGGGAGCUUGUUAAAACACAGAUUUUCUCAUUCAGUAGUUCUGGGAUUGGGCCCAAGGAUUUGCAUUUCUAACAAGUCCCCUGGUGAUGCUGA